RNAcentral lists this ribosomal RNA (239 nucleotides) under uncultured bacterium. Its description in RNAcentral is "partial 16S ribosomal RNA". It matches the Rfam family "Bacterial small subunit ribosomal RNA", at positions 8 to 236 of the family's 1533-position model. The record is from RNAcentral.
AGAGUUUGAUCAUGGCUCAGGAUAAACGCUGGCGGCGCACAUAAGACAUGCAAGUCGAACGAACUUAACCAUUAGUUUACUAUUGGAGCGGUUAGUGGCGGACUGGUGAGUAACACGUAAGCAACCUGCCUAUCAGAGGGGAACAACAGUUAGAAAUGACUGCUAAUACCGCAUAUGCCUUAGAAUCACAUGGUUCGAAAAGGGGAAAAGGAGCAAUCCGCUGAUAGAUGGGCUUGCGU